GGCCUAGUGGCGAAGGGGUAACGCAGCUGUCUGCAAAACAGUUAUACGCCGGUUCGAGUCCGACCUAGGCCU
RNAcentral lists this transfer RNA (72 nucleotides) under Candidatus Campbellbacteria bacterium CG22_combo_CG10-13_8_21_14_all_36_13. Its description in RNAcentral is "tRNA-Cys". It matches the Rfam family "tRNA". From Rfam's summary of the family: Transfer RNA (tRNA) molecules are approximately 80 nucleotides in length. Their secondary structure includes four short double-helical elements and three loops (D, anti-codon, and T loops). Further hydrogen bonds mediate the characteristic L-shaped molecular structure. tRNAs have two regions of fundamental functional importance: the anti-codon, which is responsible for specific mRNA codon recognition, and the 3' end, to which the tRNAs corresponding amino acid is attached (by aminoacyl-tRNA synthetases). tRNAs cope with the degeneracy of the genetic code in two manners: having more than one tRNA (with a specific anti-codon) for a particular amino acid; and 'wobble' base-pairing, i.e. permitting non-standard base-pairing at the 3rd anti-codon position. The record is from RNAcentral. Lineage: Bacteria; Candidatus Campbelliibacteriota.